Long non-coding RNA from Homo sapiens (human), 1361 nucleotides. Ensembl annotates it as MTUS1 divergent transcript. Its record names the gene MTUS1-DT. The record is from Ensembl. NCBI's taxonomy places the organism in Eukaryota, Metazoa, Chordata, Mammalia, Primates, Hominidae.
ACACGUGGGGAUGACAAUUCAAGAUGGAAUUGUGUGGGGACACAGAGCCAAACCAUAUCAAGUACCUACAAAAUUAUGGUGACUCUUCACUAAUUUGCAAACUGAUUAUCUGCAAAUCUUAAAUAGGGAAUAAAACACAAAAAUAUCAUUAUCCCUCCAGAACUGAGGACGCAAAUUGGAUUUAGAAGACUUAGCUUUGACACCUAGAUAUGUUUUCAUUGAUUUGACCUAACUUGAUCUCAGUUUCUCUUUUAUAGAGUUAGUUCUUUAGAUCAGAGGUCCCCAACCCCAGGACUGCGGACUGCCACUGGUCUUUGGCCUGUCAGGCACCCGGCCACACAGCUGGAGAUCUCGCUCUGUCGCCCAGGCUGGAAUGCAGUGGCGUGAUCUCGGCUCACUGCAAGCUCUGCCUCCCAGGUUCACGCCAUUCUGCCUCAGCCUCCUGAGUAGCUGGGACUACAGGUGCCCACCACCACGCCCGGCUAAUUUUUUGCGCCCACUACCACGCCCGGCUAAUUUUUUGUAUUUUUAGUGGAAACGGGGUUUCACCUGUGUUAGCCAGGAUGGUCUCGAUCUCCUGACCUUGUGAUCCGCCCGCCUCAGCCUCCCAAAGUGCUGGGAUUACAGGCGUGAGCCACCACGCCCGGCAAUCGCGGCUUAUUUUCUGAGAUGGUCAGACUCUGUUUUCUUUCCUUGCUUUCAUCUGGACCCCGUCUUUCCUUGAUCUCUAUCGUCCCAGUUCCGUACAAUGAGCAUUCUUUUCCAAGAAGUUUCUUCUCUGUGCAGUGCUUGUCCAGGAGUGGAAAUUUGGGUGGUUAGUUUGGAACAUUCAUUGUGCCCGUCAGACACUUUGCAUUCCCCUGACUUUGGAGUGUGCAAAACUUUUUCCAGUUUCAGCUGCUGUUCCCAAGUGGAACCUCCAAGCUUUCCAGCAAUUGCCUGCUUGCUAUUUUGAGAUUAUCAGAUUUAUCAGAGUCUCAUGAAUUCCCUCCACUUUCUAUUAUACAGUUGCUGAUACCACCUAGCCCUUGUAUCUGUCUAUGGCUUUCCUCAAUUCCUUAUGUUCUAGGGUUCGUGGAGACACUUCAUCACCUAAUUUUGUUAUAGAUGUUGUCCACGGGUUUUUUAUUUUAUCUUUUGUCCUUUGUCUAUAUUUGUGGCAGAAUUUUAAGGUUAAAAAAUGAUGACCCCCGGAUACAGGUGACCAUUGUAAGGGUACAAGGAAAAUAUCCCCUUUGUCCUCUGAAGAUUUGCUUAAAAAUCAACUCAUAAAAGUCAGAUUAAUUGGAGUAAAUGUAUAUAAAUUUUAUUAACGUGUACAUGAGAGCCUUUAGAAUAAAGACCCAAAGAUAUAGAGAAAA